Molecule: ribosomal RNA, 253 nt
Filed under: uncultured bacterium
Lineage: Bacteria
Description: partial 16S ribosomal RNA
Rfam family: Bacterial small subunit ribosomal RNA
Source: RNAcentral
UACAGAGGGGGCAAGCGUUGUUCGGAAUUACUGGGCGUAAAGGGCGCGUAGGCGGCCCGCUAAGUCGAACGUGAAAUCCCCGAGCUCAACUCGGGAACUGCGUCCGAUACUGGCGGGCUUGAAUCCGGGAGAGGGAUGCGGAAUUCCAGGUGUAGCGGUGAAAUGCGUAGAUAUCCGGAGGAACACCGGUGGCGAAGGCGGCAUCCUGGACCGGCAUUGACGCUGAGGCGCGAAAGCUAGGGGAGCAAACGGG